This 199-nucleotide small RNA is filed under the name Salmonella enterica subsp. enterica serovar Schwarzengrund str. SL480. RNAcentral's name for it is "Gammaproteobacterial sRNA STnc100". It matches the Rfam family "Gammaproteobacterial sRNA STnc100". The record is from Rfam by way of RNAcentral. Lineage: Bacteria; Pseudomonadati; Pseudomonadota; Gammaproteobacteria; Enterobacterales; Enterobacteriaceae.
CCAUGUAAAUUAUCAUGUUAUGGUAAUGAUGUUGCGGUGAAUCCCGUUAGCACGGGGCAUAAAUGGUUAACCUGCUUAUCAUGUGUGAUGCGAGUCAUUGUAUAACCAUUCAGUGGCUCACCGGGUAGCGUCGGCACUGCAACAUCUACUCUACUCAUUACUUAACUCAAGGCUACUUCGGUAGCCUUUUCUUUUCCAC